RNAcentral lists this ribosomal RNA (497 nucleotides) under uncultured bacterium. Its description in RNAcentral is "partial 16S ribosomal RNA". It matches the Rfam family "Bacterial small subunit ribosomal RNA", at positions 28 to 507 of the family's 1533-position model. The record is from RNAcentral.
GAGGAAAGAGGGAGGCGUGCCUAAUACAUGCAAGUCGAGCGAACGGACGAGAAGCUUGCUUCUCUGAUGUUAGCGGCGGACGGGUGAGUAACACGUGGAUAACCUACCUAUAAGACUGGGAUAACUUCGGGAAACCGGAGCUAAUACCGGAUAAUAUUUUGAACCGCAUGGUUCAAAAGUGAAAGACGGUCUUGCUGUCACUUAUAGAUGGAUCCGCGCUGCAUUAGCUAGUUGGUAAGGUAACGGCUUACCAAGGCAACGAUGCAUAGCCGACCUGAGAGGGUGAUCGGCCACACUGGAACUGAGACACGGUCCAGACUCCUACGGGAGGCAGCAGUAGGGAAUCUUCCGCAAUGGGCGAAAGCCUGACGGAGCAACGCCGCGUGAGUGAUGAAGGUCUUCGGAUCGUAAAACUCUGUUAUUAGGGAAGAACAUAUGUGUAAGUAACUGUGCACAUCUUGACGGUACCUAAUCAGAAAGCCACGGCUAACUACGUG